UACGGGUGGAGCAAGCGUUGUUCGGAUUUACUGGGCGUAAAGGGCGCGUAGGCGGCCACCGCACGUCGGUUGUGAAAUCUCUGGGCUUAACCCAGAAAGGUCAACCGAUACUGCGGGGCUAGAGUGCAGAAGGGGCAACUGGAAUUCUCGGUGUAGCGGUGAAAUGCGUAGAUAUCGAGAGGAACACCUGCGGCGAAGGCGGGUUGCUGGGCUGACACUGACGCUGAAGCGCGAAAGCUAGGGGAGCGAACGGG
This 254-nucleotide ribosomal RNA is filed under the name uncultured bacterium. Its description in RNAcentral is "partial 16S ribosomal RNA". It matches the Rfam family "Bacterial small subunit ribosomal RNA", at positions 524 to 776 of the family's 1533-position model. The record is from RNAcentral.